This 281-nucleotide unclassified non-coding RNA is filed under the name plant metagenome. RNAcentral describes it as "partial contains small subunit ribosomal RNA, internal transcribed spacer 1, and 5.8S ribosomal RNA". The stretch from base 234 to 281 matches the Rfam family "5.8S ribosomal RNA", at positions 1 to 49 of the family's 154-position model. The record is from RNAcentral.
UCUCCGUUGGUGAACCAGCGGAGGGAUCAUUACCGAGUUUACAACUCCCAAACCCCUAUGUGAACGUUACCAAACUGUUGCCUCGGCGGGAAAUUCAUGCCCCGGGCGCGUCGCAGCCCCGGACCAAGGCGCCCGCCGGAGGACCAACCAAAACUCUUUUGUAUGUCCCUCGCGGACUUUUAUAAUUCUGAACCAUCUCGGCGCCCCUAGCGGGCGUUUCGAAAAUGAAUCAAAACUUUCAACAACGGAUCUCUUGGUUCUGGCAUCGAUGAGAACGCAGC